GUCCCAGUAGCGCAAUGGAUAGCACGUUAGAUUUCUAAUCUAAGGGCGUGGUUUCGGAUCCCACCUGGGAUG
Non-coding RNA from Trichonephila clavata, 72 nucleotides. The record is from the annotation of a GenBank genome assembly. NCBI's taxonomy places the organism in Eukaryota, Metazoa, Arthropoda, Arachnida, Araneae, Nephilidae.